GGGCUGUUAGCUCAACUGGACAGAGCAGGGACCUUCUAAGUCUCAGGUUGGGGGUUCGAGUCCCUCACAGCCCGCCA
This 77-nucleotide transfer RNA is filed under the name Caldinitratiruptor microaerophilus. RNAcentral's name for it is "tRNA-Arg". It matches the Rfam family "tRNA". From Rfam's summary of the family: Transfer RNA (tRNA) molecules are approximately 80 nucleotides in length. Their secondary structure includes four short double-helical elements and three loops (D, anti-codon, and T loops). Further hydrogen bonds mediate the characteristic L-shaped molecular structure. tRNAs have two regions of fundamental functional importance: the anti-codon, which is responsible for specific mRNA codon recognition, and the 3' end, to which the tRNAs corresponding amino acid is attached (by aminoacyl-tRNA synthetases). tRNAs cope with the degeneracy of the genetic code in two manners: having more than one tRNA (with a specific anti-codon) for a particular amino acid; and 'wobble' base-pairing, i.e. permitting non-standard base-pairing at the 3rd anti-codon position. The record is from RNAcentral. Lineage: Bacteria; Bacillati; Bacillota; Clostridia; Eubacteriales; Symbiobacteriaceae.